RNAcentral lists this ribosomal RNA (466 nucleotides) under uncultured bacterium. RNAcentral describes it as "partial 16S ribosomal RNA". It matches the Rfam family "Bacterial small subunit ribosomal RNA", at positions 28 to 507 of the family's 1533-position model. The record is from RNAcentral.
GAUGGACGCUGGCGGCGUGCUUAACACAUGCAAGUCGAACGGAAAGGCCCAAGCUUGCUUGGGUGCUCGAGUGGCGAACGGGUGAGUAACACGUGGGUGAUCUGCCCUGCACUUUGGGAUAAGCCUGGGAAACUGGGUCUAAUACCGGAUAGGACCAUCGUUUAGUGUCGGUGGUGGAAAGUUUUUCGGUGUGGGAUGAGCUCGCGGCCUAUCAGCUUGUUGGUGGGGUAAUGGCCUACCAAGGCGUCGACGGGUAGCCGGCCUGAGAGGGUGUACGGCCACAUUGGGACUGAGAUACGGCCCAGACUCCUACGGGAGGCAGCAGUGGGGAAUAUUGCACAAUGGGCGCAAGCCUGAUGCAGCGACGCCGCGUGGGGGAUGACGGCCUUCGGGUUGUAAACUCCUUUCGCCAAGGACGAAGCGUUUUGUGACGGUACUUGGAGAAGAAGCACCGGCUAACUACGUG